CUCACCACACCUCUGUGCGGAAGCGCACAGCACGGUUACGAUUCUAUAGGUGGCAGUAGUGCGACAUUGAGAAUGCAAUCCACCGCAAUCUUCCACAGACGAAGACCCACUACAGGACUGCACGACAAUAGCCAACCAGCUGGUUCGUAGCGUAGUAGAACCAUACGUCUACGAUCCCGAAUCUGACCCUGAAGCUGAAGAGGAGGCUGUUGAAGUCACCACAGUACAGCUGAUGCAAGAUGUGUCUCAUUGUUGUUACAGGUAUCUAGUCUACAGAGGCUAGUGAGCUGGUGAUGGGGAUUCCUGGGAUGAAUAAUCUGAGUUGCCAUCUCUUCAUGCUCGGGUUGUAGAUGAAGGCAGAGUUUCUUGAUGGAUAAAACACUAAAACACUCAUUGUAUGAUGGAUGUAGACCACCUGUGGAAUAACUCCUUUACCAUUUGAGUAAAAAUGUGUUUUUUGUGAGUGCAAUACUCAUUAAGAUUUUUUUAAUUUACAUAUAAUUUAUGCUUUUUAUUUAUGUCCGGUUCACCUUUAUAGUUUACCAUAUUAGAAAGAGAAAAACAUGUAAUUUCAAUACUAUGAUUUCCUGAAUAAAAAUGUUUCCCUUCAGAAA
Betta splendens (Siamese fighting fish) is the source of this 614-nucleotide long non-coding RNA. RefSeq lists it as uncharacterized. NCBI's taxonomy places the organism in Eukaryota, Metazoa, Chordata, Actinopteri, Anabantiformes, Osphronemidae. The record is from RefSeq and is a predicted model, not a curated record. The transcript is spliced from 2 exons.